Long non-coding RNA from Antechinus flavipes (yellow-footed antechinus), 1008 nucleotides. RefSeq lists it as uncharacterized. The record is from RefSeq and is a predicted model, not a curated record. The transcript has 3 exons. NCBI's taxonomy places the organism in Eukaryota, Metazoa, Chordata, Mammalia, Dasyuromorphia, Dasyuridae.
GCUUGCAAGUUGACAUUUGCAAAGAAAGAGCACUUUGAAAGUAGGAGACCUGGAUUCCAAUCUGGUCUUUACUUUUUACCGCCUGUGUGAGCUUGGACAAGUCGCUUCACCUCUCUGUAAAAGGAAAGUUAUUCUAGCUUUAAACAUGGCCUCAGGCAUUUACUAGCUAUGUGAGCAAGUCACAUAACUGCUUACUCCCUAAGUUUACUCAACUGUAAAAUGGGAUAGAACCUACAUUGUUAUUAGGAUCAAGUGAAAUAACAGCAAAGCAUUUAUCACAGGUCCUGGCACAUAGUAGGUGCGUAAUAAAUGCUUGCUCCCUAAAUGCAUGAUCUUGUUAGUGACUGGGGAGGGAGGUGUUGCUGGGGUAAGAGUUAUGAGUCACAGUAUUUCAAGGUAGUAGGGGAUUCAGAGAUCAUCUGUUGUCCUUUCACCUUCAGUAUUGGUGCAGGAAACCCCACUACAACUCCUCUAGCAGAGGUAAUUGGGAGAACCUUAGGAAAAUCAUUUUGGCAACAAUAUAGAGGACAGAUCAAAGUGAAGAGAGAGACCAGUUGGAAUGCUAUUAAUAAUCCACGUGAGAGGUUAAUAGCUAUAUGGGGGAAAAGAGGAAGAUGAAAGAAAAGUCAGGACUGAGCUCAGGAAAGAUGAGAUCAUGAUCACUGCCAACAGAAGUAAGACAGAGCUGUUCGGUUUUUAUAUUGUUUUUGUUUUCUUUCCCAAGGAAAAUGACUCUCACACUGGAAAUGACAAAACAAAAAUGAUUUACAAUGAACUCACACCCAAGAUAAAGAGAUAAUAAUAAGAGAGCACCUAACUGAACUUAAUGAAUUCAAGUUACCUGCCCAGAUAAACAAAGUACAAAUGUCUAAUCAUCACAAAAGGAAAGAUUAUAUAAUUGGCAUAUUAUAGACUAGGAAGCUUGAUCUCAAUUUCCUGCAAAAUUCCUUUUAAAAAAUUAUUUAAUAUUCUUUUCUUAAAUCUUGAGUUCCAAAUUCUUUCCCUUCC